GUUGGAAGGGUCUAAAAAGAUUUAGAGAGCUUAACAGGAGAUAGAAAGAGGUCCAAUGAAUAACACAGGCACAUACGAAAACUGUAUAUUACACUGUAUUCUUGUAUCAAGAUAAAAGAGAAAAAACAUGGAGUAAACAAUUAAUAUUACAUAUAAACUUUUCUAUCUUUCUUCUACACAAAGUUUCAUUUGAAAUCUCAAUGAGAUUUGUCAUUCUGAAACUCGAAAAAGGAUCAGUAGAAAGAAGAACACGGAAUAGCAUAGCAUCCCACCAUAAAAGUUGCCAAAGUUGAGGAAGAAACUUCACUGUAUCUUCCAUCUCCUCCUUCAGAGUUAUAACUCCAUAUUAGGUAUGCCAGCCAACAAACUGCAUACACUAGAGUGAUUCAAAAGUCAGAACCCUUUAGAUCCGAUAACCCAAGCUCAAACCAUGGUUUCCCAAACCCCAAAACACUUUUUCAUGCUAAUUUGAGAGCCUUUCUUUCUCAUACACCACAACCCAAACCCCGAGCCUCUGAUCCUUUCAUGAUCCUCAGCCUUUUGCAAGAAGUCACAAACAUGCUGCACAAAAGUACGGUUCUGUCAGAUUUAGUUCAACUCAUACAAACCUAACGAUGAGACAGACAAAAGCAUAUCAGAGAUGUAACACUUACUCCCAUGGAACAUCUCCAACUAACAUCCAGUCACCGUCCUUGUCUUCAUAAGUUGGUGCAUAGUCAGAUCCCUUGUAACCUUCUUUUUCAGAGUACUCACCUGAAAACCCAUAACACGACCCAGGUCAUUUCCACAAUAUCAUCUCAUCUCAAUAAAAACAGACAAAACUAAAACUCUUCUCACCUAUGGUCAACUUGAACAUGUUUUCUAGAGCUUUGAGAAGUUGUGUGUAGCCUCCAUACACCUUCAGGUCAAUCUUCCUUAGGUAAGGAGCUCCAUCCAUGCUUACUUUCACAUAAAUCCCAGCACCCUCGUUCUCGUGAAGGCUGUUUUUCCUAUAGGAUCUGAUUGGUGGCCACCCCACUAUCUUUGCCCUGUCAUACAUGUCAACACCUUCAAUCAGUCACUCAUCAACACAAAAAAGGCCUUUGAGUUUUAAUUAGUAAUGAUAAUAAUAAUGAAACUUACUUGGCUGGAGGGGCUGCCUCAGCUUCCACAUUUUUUUGAGCAUUAGAAACAGUCUCCUCAGAAGUUUCAGUCAAUGGCCUUUUGUUGGUAAUUCUAGCAGACGGAGGCAGUGUUUUUUCCUGAGUUUCUUCUGUUCCUGGGAGCCCCAAUCUAAGCUCAGUUGCCU
RNAcentral lists this small RNA (1288 nucleotides) under Vigna angularis var. angularis. RNAcentral describes it as "Non-protein coding transcript". Lineage: Eukaryota; Viridiplantae; Streptophyta; Magnoliopsida; Fabales; Fabaceae. The record is from RNAcentral.